This 1912-nucleotide long non-coding RNA is filed under the name Sorghum bicolor (sorghum). RNAcentral describes it as "long non-coding RNA (SBIC_LNC007002)". The record is from RNAcentral. Lineage: Eukaryota; Viridiplantae; Streptophyta; Magnoliopsida; Poales; Poaceae.
AAGGAAUCUAAAUAAAGUAUUUAGAGCUCAUGAAAAGAUAUCUAGAAGCAUCUAAAAAUUAAAUUUUACUCGUAGAAAGGUGGGAAAAUUCCAAAAAAGGUGGAAAAUUUUUCGAGAAGUUUUAAUAGGUCGGUUGAUGAAGAUAAAGUCAAAAGAAUGAUUUAGAGUAGAAGAAUAGCAUCGGGGGCAACUCUAUGAAAAGAUUAAGACUCAGGAAAAAGAGAGUUGGUUAAUGAUAGACACGUCGGAGAAAGAUAAACGACUUACUAAAUAUGCUCUAAAACUUUAUCCACUCACAACACAAGUUCAAUCAAUAAACAAGCAUCACCACACAUCAAGCAAAAGCCCGUCAAGUUAAUUCAGAACAAUUUAGAAAUUCAUAUUUUUUCUAUAACUAAUUUGCCCUAACUCAAACUAAAUUUGGCAAAUCUUAUACAAAUAUUAAAUUCAUUUAUAUUGGUUUAGUGUUUUCUAUGCACAACCUAAAAUUGAAAAUUUUGGGGGUGUGACACAGGUUGUCAUCUCUAGCAUGAUGUAGAAGUGCUAGUAUUAAAUCUAUAUGCUUUUCUUAGAAUAAAUAAUAAAUAAAGGAUCCGCAAGCGCACAGAUAAUACCGAUGUAGCAUUUUAACCGGGAGUAACCCAGGUAUCGUUAUUUAUAUUUUUACUAGACUUGCAAUGGAUAAUGAGCAAUGAGCACUGCAUAUAACCAUGAAGAACUUAACCAUGUCUUUUAUCUAUCUCUCAUGCAGGGUAAGUGUCACAUAAGAUAAAUAUAUGAAUAUGAAUAAUAAGUGACAGAUAAUAAAUAAGAAUUCAUAGCCAUGAUCAAGAUUCACUUGCACCCACAUAUAUAUGCACUCUCUUACAUUGGGAGUAGACACAAAACAUGCCUUCCAUUUAGAUCCACCCAAAAUGUUUCUCUCCUACACUGGGAGUGAACACUAAAAAGAUCCCUGAUAGGUUUUUCAUCCACCAAAUAAAUGCUCCAAUUCUUGAUGCUAUCUCUCAAAAGUCUUUGUUGUCAAAAAGAGUCAUGAGCUAUGCAAAAGUUAUAAAGAAAAAAUAUAUAUAUAUAGGGAGUUAAAAAAGGGACUAGUGUCCUAGAGAUGAAAACAAUGAGUACUCAGAUACUUGCCUCCCUAAAAGUAAAAAAGAGAGAGAAAAAAAAGAAAAGAAAUAAUAAUAAUAAGAUAGCUCAUGUUCUCUGGCCAAGUUUUUAAAUUCAAAAGAGAGAUAUAUUCAAGGAGUAUAGUAGAAUUAGGUUUCUUCAACUCUACCAUAUAUCCAUUAAAUAUCCACACACAUGCACAUCUUGAUCUAAGAGUAUGAUAUUUCGCUCCUCGGGUUCAGGAUUUGACUUUAUAAUAUAUGCAACACAAGUAUGCCACAACAUCUAUCUCUACCUGAGCUCCACAUAAACUAUUAGUUGUAGGAAGAGAAGAGCAUAAUAAGAUACACCAUUGAGCGAUCGAGAGUACCAUUUGAGGAGUAAUAGUGAUCUAUGCUUUCCUUUUGUAAAAACUUUAAAAACUUUAAGUUGUUAAGAUGUGAAUCUGGGAAGAUGACUUUGCUUCGAGAACUGUUCCACUUUUCAACCACCCAAGGACAUAUGUUAGCUAAUGCCACAUAUCCCACUUGUGUGAGUAAUGUUUUGGAAUAAUUUUUAUGUUAGCUAUAUAUUUUUCGAUGUCAUGAUCAUGAUUACUUUUAUCUUUAACCUUUACUCGAGGACGAGUGAAAGCCCUAGUUUGGUUUUGGAUAAUUGAUGAAACCCUAGUACUAACCUCUAUGCUAAGUAUGUGUAGACUUAAUGUGGUUGGUACAUGCCAAGUGAUGGAGCAAGAGAUGAUCAUGGUGAUGAUGGUGAUGACCACAAGAUGAUCAAGUGCUCAACUUGGAAAAGAAGAAAG